Molecule: ribosomal RNA, 30 nt
Filed under: Rhizopus arrhizus
Lineage: Eukaryota; Fungi; Mucoromycota; Mucoromycetes; Mucorales; Rhizopodaceae
Description: Rhizopus oryzae partial 18S ribosomal RNA
Source: RNAcentral
UCCGUAGGUGAACCUGCGGGGUAAGUGAUU